UGGGGGAUAUUGCACAAUGGGCGAAAGCCUGAUGCAGCGACGCCGCGUGGGGGAUGAAGGCCUUCGGGUUGUAAACUUCUUUUUCUCUGAACAAGGCAUGCUAAUGGGUGUGUUGAGUGUAGGGGUUGAUUAGCGCCGGCUAACUACGUGCCAGCAGCCGCGGUAAUACGUAGGGCGCGAGCGUUGUCCGGAAUUAUUGGGCGUAAAGGGCUUGUAGGUGGCUGGUUGCGUCUGUCGUGAAAGCUCAUGGCUUAACUGUGGGUUUGCGGUGGGUACGGGCUGGCUUGAGUGCAGUAGGGGAGGGUGGAAUUCCUGGUGUAGCGGUGGAAUGCGCAGAUAUCAGGAGGAAUACCGGUGGAGAAGGUGGGUCUCUGGGCUGUUACUGACACUGAGGAGCGAAAGCAUGGGGAGCGAACAGG
This 419-nucleotide ribosomal RNA is filed under the name bacterium. RNAcentral's name for it is "partial 16S ribosomal RNA". It matches the Rfam family "Bacterial small subunit ribosomal RNA", at positions 355 to 776 of the family's 1533-position model. The record is from RNAcentral.